AGAGUUUGAUCCUGGCUCAGGACGAACGCUGCGGGCGCGCCUAACACAUGCAAGUCGAACGAGAGAGAGGGAGCUUGCUUCCUUGAUCGAGUGGCGAACGGGUGAGUAACGCGUGAGGAACCUGCCUCAAAGAGGGGGACAACAGUUGGAAACGACUGCUAAUACCGCAUAAGCCCACGACCCGGCAUCGGGAAGAGGGAAAAGGAGCAAUCCGCUUUGAGAUGGCCUCGCGUCCGAUUAGCUAGUUGGUGAGGUAACGGCCCACCAAGGCGACGAUCGGUAGCCGGACUGAGAGGUUGAACGGCCACAUUGGGACUGAGAACACGGCCCAGACUCCUACGGGAGGCAGCA
This 351-nucleotide ribosomal RNA is filed under the name uncultured bacterium. RNAcentral describes it as "bacterial SSU rRNA". It matches the Rfam family "Bacterial small subunit ribosomal RNA", at positions 8 to 353 of the family's 1533-position model. The record is from RNAcentral.